RNAcentral lists this ribosomal RNA (734 nucleotides) under Ambrysus puncticollis. Its description in RNAcentral is "SSU rRNA". It matches the Rfam family "Eukaryotic small subunit ribosomal RNA", at positions 422 to 1079 of the family's 1831-position model. The record is from RNAcentral. Lineage: Eukaryota; Metazoa; Arthropoda; Insecta; Hemiptera; Naucoridae.
AAGGCAGCAGGCACGCAAAUUACCCACUCCCGGCACGGGGAGGUAGUGACAAAAAAUAACGAUACGGGACUCAUCCGAGGCCCCGUAAUCGGAAUGAGUACACUUUAAAUCCUUUAACAAGGAUCCAAUGGAGGGCAAGUCUGGUGCCAGCAGCCGCGGUAAUUCCAGCUCCAUUAGCGUAUAUUAAAGUUGUUGCGGUUAAAAAGCUCGUAGUUGGUUCUGCGUCCCACGAUGCUGGUUCACCGCCUGACGGUGCAACUGGCAUGCCGUGGGAUGUCCUGUCGGUGGUGGCCUUGGCCCACGGCGCGUGUAGGUCCAUACCGAAGCACGUCGUGUGUCGCCAAGGAUCGCCGAUCCAAUCCUGCCUCGGUGCUUUUUAUCGAGUGUCGAGGUGGGCCGACACGUUUACUUUGAACAAAUUAGAGUGCUCAAAGCAGGCUAAUUAUGCCUGGAUAUUGGUGCAUGGAAUAAUGGAAUAGGACCUCGGUUCUAUUUUGUUGGUUUUCGGAACCCGAGGUAAUGAUCAAUAUGGACAGGCGGGGGCAUUCGUAUUGCGACGUUAGAGGUGAAAUUCUUGGAUCGUCGCAAGACGGACUAGAGCGAAAGCAUUUGCCAAGUAUGUCUUAGUUGAUCAAGAACGAAAGUUAGAGGUUCGAAGGCGAUCAGAUACCGCCCUAGUUCUAACCAUAAACGAUGCCAGCCAGCGAUCCGCCGAUGUUCCUCCGAUGACUCGG